GAUGAACGCUGGCGGCGUGCCUAAUACAUGCAAGUCGAGCGAACGGACGAGAAGCUUGCUUCUCUGAUGUUAGCGGCGGACGGGUGAGUAACACGUGGAUAACCUACCUAUAAGACUGGGAUAAUUUCGGGAAACCGGAGCUAAUACCGGUUAAUAUUUUGAACCGCAUGGUUCAAAAGUGAAAGACGGUCUUGCUGUCACUUAUAGAUGGAUCCGCGCUGCAUUAGCUAGUUGGUAAGGUAACGGCUUACCAAGGCAACGAUGCAUAGCCGACCUGAGAGGAUGAUCAGCCACACUGGAACUGAGACACGGUCCAGACUCCUACGGGAGGCAGCAGUAGGGAAUAUUCGACAAUGGGCGAAAGCCUGACGGAGCAACGCCGCGUGGGUGAUGAAGGUCUUCGGAUCGUAAAACUCUGUUAUUGGGGAAGAACAUAUGUGUAAGUAACUGUGGACAUCCUGACGGUACCUAAUCAGAAAGCCCCGGCUAACUACGUG
RNAcentral lists this ribosomal RNA (497 nucleotides) under uncultured bacterium. RNAcentral describes it as "partial 16S ribosomal RNA". It matches the Rfam family "Bacterial small subunit ribosomal RNA", at positions 28 to 507 of the family's 1533-position model. The record is from RNAcentral.